This 284-nucleotide unclassified non-coding RNA is filed under the name plant metagenome. RNAcentral describes it as "partial contains small subunit ribosomal RNA, internal transcribed spacer 1, and 5.8S ribosomal RNA". The stretch from base 1 to 54 matches the Rfam family "Eukaryotic small subunit ribosomal RNA", at positions 1778 to 1831 of the family's 1831-position model. The record is from RNAcentral.
GGCAGUAAAAGUCGUAACAAGGUCUCCGUUGGUGAACCAGCGGAGGGAUCAUUACCGAGUUUACAACUCCCAAACCCCUAUGUGAACGUUACCAAACUGUUGCCUCGGCGGGAAAUUCAUGCCCCGGGCGCGUCGCAGCCCCGGACCAAGGCGCCCGCCGGAGGACCAACCAAAACUCUUUUGUAUGUCCCUCGCGGACUUUUAUAAUUCUGAACCAUCUCGGCGCCCCUAGCGGGCGUUUCGAAAAUGAAUCAAAACUUUCAACAACGGAUCUCUUGGUUCUG